GGCCACACCUCCUCCAGCAAGUCCACACUUCCAAAUCCUUUCAAAUGGUGUUGAUCCCUGAUCCCUAAGCGUUAGAAUAUAUGAGCCUACAGAGCAAUUCUUACACAAACCACCAAAGACAGCUUGGCCUAUAGUGGGGUUUUCUAAGUGUCUGUCCCAAUGGGAGUAGCUAAGUACCAUUUCUGCAAAACAUAAAGUAAGUACCUUUGUUGUUGUUGUUGUUUUUCCUUCACAGGACAAGGUUUUUGACACAUUAUACAUGCCUAUGUAGUUCAAAGUUCUUUGGACUGUGUUGCAACCUCCCGUGAGCCUCUGCGAGGAGGUUACUUCCUAAAGCAGUCUGAAGACAACAACUGAACGUUGACUUCUUUUGGUUUUCUUUUCCCAGUGUACUCUCACAUAAAUUGCUGGGGUUCCAGACGCCAUGAUGCAUUUACGGUAUCUUCAGAGUCCAGAAGAGAGGGAUUCAGGUUUCCUGGAGCUGCAGCUAAAGGUGGGAGCUGAGCUCGGGACCUCUGCGAUAGCAGUCUGUGCUCUUCACUGCUGAGCCAUCGCCUCUCCAGCCUCACAACAUGAGCACACUCAAUCCACUUCAUGUUGCUCAUGUGGACAUGGGUAUCCAGCCAUCCCCUGAGGUUUGGGCAGCCUACUGGUCGACACCCACAGAGAAGAGCGACUCUCACCUGACAGUCAUUAAGGCCAAUAUCUUCUCAGAGGUGGAACCUUGGGAGCUCUUCCCCACUCCAUGCUGAAUUUGAACAGGCUUGAUCUUGUGCAGCUCUUAUAUAAUUUCUGCUCGGUCUUCUGCAAUGGCUCCUGCGUGUUGGGUGGUGAGCAGCUAUCUGGACGAUCCAUCCAAAGCUGAGCACUUACACUCACUCCUACUUGGCAUGGAGACCUAAGUCAACUGCUACCCACUGUAUGAAGACGUUUCCCUGGCAAAGGGUGAGAGCAGCACACAUCUGUGGAUGUAGACAUACAUAGUUAGAAGGCAGUUUGAUAAUAUGACCAUUAGCAAACAUAAUCAAAGGGUUCUUCCCUUGGGCCUUUGACUUCCCCAGCCUUGGGUUUUGACUGGGUUUUCAGAACAAGGCAUGAAUCCCUCCUGUAGAACAGGCCUACAUCCAACCUAGAAAACAGCUGGUUACCUCCAUAAACUGUCUUGCCACGAUUGCAACAGUCAGAAGGUCAGUAUUGUAGCAUACUAGUCCUAUCUUUUCUCCUCCAGCAUCCUGCAAAGCCCCUUCUAGCACUAUUAAAGCUAGUCAGUAGGGCAAGAGUUCCCCAGACAAUUCAAGGUCAAUUUCUUUCAUCUUGCAACCAGUGUUUUCCAUAAUAGGUUUUACCAUCUAGUUAUGGGGGGCAACCAAGAGCAGUGGCAAUAACCUGGGUUGUUUGGGAUACCUCUGGGCUUCUCUGAUCUCUAAAUUCCUAGGGACCAGUGCCCGGCACUGAGAUUUUCAUUUAACAACUUAUGUCUUCUGGCAGUAACAACGUGUCCCCGACCUAAAGGUUUGGAGAACAGCCUGGCCACUAAACUGAUAUCUCUCUGCUUCUGUAAACUCUUGUUUACUACAGAUGUCCAGAGCUGCUUUUCAGCACACAUCACAGUUGCAGUUUUUGCCUUUAAAAACUUGAUAAAAUGGAGGUCAAGGCUGCUUCCUGCUACUAUGCCUGAGACAACCCACUGGAGUCAGGCAUGGGAAAUCAAACUUCAACAACACUGUCUCCUGAGACUCAGGUAAGUGUCACCAGAGCUGCCUGCUCUGUCUCUGUUGGCUCCUGGAGCCUAUUACAGUUACAAAAGCUGUACCAGUGUGUCAGACUGCUUCUCCCACCCCUCCUGGGCUGCUAAGCCCUGUCUUCCAGCUCCCUCCUGGAUCUUGUUCCGUCUCUCUUGCCCCAUUGCUCUUCUUUGCUUUGGGCUGCUGCCUCACUAGCUCGAUCUGUCUCUCACCUCCCACCUGGAGCUUCUUCUGUCUCUAGCCAUGGCAAACAACUUGUUUCUUCUUUUCUCCCUUUCUCAUUGCCAGACUGGAGUCUGCUGUUUCACAGGUUCAUCGGGCAUUUCUCUAUGCCUUCCUGGGCCUCUAAUAUACCGUAGUUCUCCAUCUGUCAAAGCCCCUGUUUAAAAUCCUUUCCUCUAAGUUUCUCCCAUCUCUUCUGCUUCUGAAGGAAGUCUUCUUGCCAGCCAUCUCUCAGGUGACUCCUGUCUCUAAGCACUGGGCUCUCAGGCUGCCUCUGCCCGACCCCAGCCAGUGUAGGGUGGUGCUGGCAAUCAUAGUAGGCAGAUCCAUGGCGACCAUAAGUACCUCCACCUGCUUUGUUUUGCCACCUGCUGCCUGUUGUGCUAUGGGAGCUCGCCUGUCCUCAGGGCUCUUAGCUAGAGGGGCACUAGAUUUCCAAAUUCUCACAGGUUGUUCCUCUGCCAUGGCACAAACAAAUGUCCCCAAAUCUCUUAUCUUCAAGCCUUCUUUGCUCUCUGCUCUGAGCCUCCUCUGUUCUCUGCUUGCUCUGGCCUCACCCUCUGGCCACUGGAUUCAGUUUUGCAGGGAUUCAGGUGUCUUUGAGGUCCGGAUAAAAUUAAGAUACUGUUUUGUGUUGUUCUACUCUAUAAAAACGCUGGAUCUGAAAUUGUGCUAUGGCCUUCUUUUUUUCUGCACCCCUCCCCCCAAGCAUGCUUGUUUAAGUCUCCUUCGGGGUUGGGGCUGGUGAGAACAAAGAUGAUGGUGGCCAUUGGCACCUGCCUCAGAGCUCUGAGGAUUCUGAGAGACCCAUGGAAUAUGCAGAGCUCACAGCAACUCUGGAACAACAAUGACAACACCAACAGCAACAACAGCAGCAACAACAGCAACAGCAAUAACAGGCAAGUUGAGAGAUAGGGUUUUAAAUUAGCUCAAAACUCAGCAACAGGAUCUGACUCAGGAAGACAGAUUGUUAAAAAUGCAGGAGAACUGGUAUAGACUCACUGACACUUUGCUUAUCACCGGACCUGAGUAAAUGAGUAAUGGAUUCUGUUCUGCCCCUGUGAUGUUUGUUCAAGCCCCCAUUGUGCCCUCCAGCCAUUUUGUCCUGCAGAAAGUAUUCCAGGAAACGGGCCAAGCCUAACCAGAUGUGUUUCAGACGCAGAUGCCUCAUCA
RNAcentral lists this small RNA (3140 nucleotides) under Rattus norvegicus (Norway rat). RNAcentral's name for it is "Sec61 translocon subunit gamma like 1 (Sec61gl1)". The record is from RNAcentral. Lineage: Eukaryota; Metazoa; Chordata; Mammalia; Rodentia; Muridae.